Molecule: ribosomal RNA, 891 nt
Filed under: Pseudoclavibacter helvolus
Lineage: Bacteria; Bacillati; Actinomycetota; Actinomycetes; Micrococcales; Microbacteriaceae
Description: bacterial SSU rRNA
Rfam family: Bacterial small subunit ribosomal RNA
Source: RNAcentral
AGGACGAACGCUGGCGGCGUGCUUACACAUGCAAGUCGAACGAUGAAGCCCAGCUUGCUGGGUGGAUUAGUGGCGAACGGGUGAGUAACACGUGAGCAACGUGCCCAUAACUCUGGGAUAACCUCCGGAAACGGUGGCUAAUACUGGAUAUCUAACACGAUCGCAUGGUCUGUGUUUGGAAAGAUUUUUUGGUUAUGGAUCGGCUCACGGCCUAUCAGCUUGUUGGUGAGGUAAUGGCUCACCAAGGCGACGACGGGUAGCCGGCCUGAGAGGGUGACCGGCCACACUGGGACUGAGACACGGCCCAGACUCCUACGGGAGGCAGCAGUGGGGAAUAUUGCACAAUGGGCGAAAGCCUGAUGCAGCAACGCCGCGUGAGGGAUGACGGCCUUCGGGUUGUAAACCUCUUUUAGUAGGGAAGAAGCGAAAGUGACGGUACCUGCAGAAAAAGCACCGGCUAACUACGUGCCAGCAGCCGCGGUAAUACGUAGGGUGCAAGCGUUGUCCGGAAUUAUUGGGCGUAAAGAGCUCGUAGGCGGUUUGUCGCGUCUGCUGUGAAAUCCCGAGGCUCAACCUCGGGUCUGCAGUGGGUACGGGCAGACUAGAGUGUGGUAGGGGAGAUUGGAAUUCCUGGUGUAGCGGUGGAAUGCGCAGAUAUCAGGAGGAACACCGAUGGCGAAGGCAGAUCUCUGGGCCAUUACUGACGCUGAGGAGCGAAAGCAUGGGGAGCGAACAGGAUUAGAUACCCUGGUAGUCCAUGCCGUAAACGUUGGGCGCUAGAUGUGGGGACCAUUCCACGGUUUCCGUGUCGUAGCUAACGCAUUAAGCGCCCCGCCUGGGAGUACGGCCGCAAGGCUUAAACUCAAAGGAAUUGACGGGGGCCCGCACAAG